This is a long non-coding RNA of Orcinus orca (killer whale), 757 nucleotides long. RefSeq lists it as uncharacterized. Lineage: Eukaryota; Metazoa; Chordata; Mammalia; Artiodactyla; Delphinidae. The transcript is spliced from 3 exons. The record is from RefSeq and is a predicted model, not a curated record.
GAAUAACAAAUCACCUAGAAGUACACGUCAUGUACGCUACCUUUCAUCCACAUGUACCACUCUGUCUAUUUAAGAAUCCUACUCAGAGGAGCUCAUAGCUUGGGGUCCAGACAGACUUCAUCAUCCUAUUCUCAGUGCCUACAUGGUGCACAAAUUAGGUGUAGUUUUCAAUAAAAACUUGCUGAAUAAACGGAGAUUUCUCACCUGAUUAGCCCUGGCUGCUUGCAGCUGGGUUUUCUAUUUAGGAACCUUUGGAAAACUUUUUCCCACCUGGGCUGGCUUAAAGAAGCACCCAGAACAACAGAAUCUUAUCACCUCCUUCAUCAGCCUAAAUUGUAGCUCUCUUUUUAUAAUGAGCAACAUAAGGGUAGAGUAAAACCUCUGCGUGUGAACUGAUGAGAAACAAAUAUCUUCCUACAUUCCUCCAGGGGCUACUGUGAGCAGUGCCAGUUGGCAGUCUCGGAGCAAUUUUUAAUGCUCUCUAGAGACGAGAAGAAUCAAGAAAUGAGAAGAGAUUAGGCUUACGGACUUUACAGGAGCAAGAGAAAAGAGCCAUCACUUCAGAUCAGGAGAACAGGAGAGCUUGCAGACAAGGUGACAUUUGAGCUGGGUUAUAUAGAUGAUCCCUCUGAUGAGAUGGAAAAGACGAUUAUGCCAGCAGGCCUGCCUGACAUACUUAUCAAAGAAGAGGAUCAAAGAGAAGAGGAGGAAGGAGGAUAUUAGGUGUAACAACGCCAGAUACCAUCAAGAUUACUAC